This is a long non-coding RNA of Pipistrellus kuhlii (Kuhl's pipistrelle), 453 nucleotides long. RefSeq lists it as uncharacterized. NCBI's taxonomy places the organism in Eukaryota, Metazoa, Chordata, Mammalia, Chiroptera, Vespertilionidae. The record is from RefSeq and is a predicted model, not a curated record. The transcript is spliced from 3 exons.
CACACACGCACACACACACACACACACACACGCUGUGUCCUGAGGGCCUGGGAAGAGGAGAGGUGCCCAGGCAGGGUGUCCGGAGGGAGAGGACCCAGCAGGGACCUGGGGGCAGGAGGCUGGGCGGGGAGAGGGGCAGGGCCCAGCGGAGGCUGUGAGAGGAGGAGCCAGGGGAGGGGAAGGAGGGGGCUCUGGUCAGAGUGAGGACGACUCCACAAGCCCCAUGGACCGUGUGUAGCAGGCCGGCCGGCCAGCCCUGGGGGGAGGGGUCCCCACCACACAGUCUCUCUAGGCUCGGCUGCCUGUCCAGGGGGCGGAGGAGUCAGCUGGGGAGACCCCCAGACGUGGGUGUACCACCAGGAGUGGCCCCAAGUCCCGGGCAGCAGCCAGGAGUCCCUCCUGUGGGGCCUCCGGGAAGGAAAGGACCUGGAUGGGAGGACAGCGCCCCCUCCC